CUGUUUGCCGAUGGAGCAUCAUCAAGAUUCACAAAACUUUUUUUAGGGCUAUAAAAUUAAUGAUGAACAUGGUGAAAAUAUCAUCAUAAGCUUUGAUCAAUAUAUAUAUGAAAUCAGCCCUUUAAAAUAUGAUUUUGAGAAUCUUGAUGAUGCUGCAGCGGCAAUAAA
Non-coding RNA from Corchorus olitorius, 168 nucleotides. The record is from Rfam. Lineage: Eukaryota; Viridiplantae; Streptophyta; Magnoliopsida; Malvales; Malvaceae.